Long non-coding RNA from Cyclopterus lumpus (lumpfish), 1479 nucleotides. RefSeq lists it as uncharacterized. The record is from RefSeq and is a predicted model, not a curated record. The transcript has 3 exons. NCBI's taxonomy places the organism in Eukaryota, Metazoa, Chordata, Actinopteri, Perciformes, Cyclopteridae.
UAUAAAGAGAAAUAACAGAACAAAUAUCAGUUUUAUUAACGUCUAUUUAAAAAAAACGUGUGCAAAGUAACAUUCUAUGUAAAACUGUCAUCACAGGAGCAUUCUGGGAAGAUUAUCAGUUUCAGGACAACAAUAUUUAUAGAAAUGUUGAUAGUCGUAGAGCAGAGGUCUCAAACGCGUUUUUCUCACACACACGAUUUCCGGACAGUUUAUUUUGUAUAGCCCAAUAUCACAAAUUCCAACCUCCCCUCCGAGGGCUUUGAACCAACUCGUCCGUUGUUGUCGUAGUUAGACCGCUGUUGAAGAUAGGAAGAGAACACGUAGCUCACUCGUGAAUGCCGCAUUGUUUAAUUUGUAUAGUAUAUAUCAUUAUGUAUAUGAGAGGGGUUGACACUUCAUUACAAAAUUAAACCAAGCGGCAUUCAUGAGGACCGCUAUACGAGAAAAGUCGGCAGUUAACAGGGUCGCCUGUUGAACCGUUACACCGGUCAAACCUCCGUAGAAUGGGCGGUCCUGUGCUGGGAUGCCAAAUGGCUCAUGGACUGAGCUUGUUGACGUCACACAGCUGAAUGGACCUAGAGGCCAGGGGGAGCUUUUCAGUGCUGCUAUGACAUCCUCAGAGCAUUCUCCACACAACUUGUUAUGGAAAGAUCUCUCAGAAAAACCUCUGCCAUUUCCCAGCAUGCAACGCACUAAUAAUAAUAAUAAUAAUAAUAUAUCCUUUAUUGAUCCCUGUGGGUACAUUCUUCUCUGCAUUGUACCCAUCCUUAGUUCUUAAGGUACGGUGGGCUGCAGUGAAGCGCUCCGGGAGCAACUGGGGGUUCAGUGUCUUGCUCAUAAUUAAUAAAGAUUGAGAAGAUUGGAUCAGUUGUACUUUUUCUUUGAAUACUUGAUGCGGCCCAGCCUCACCCAGACUCUACCUCCAGCGGCCUCCAGGUAAAUUGAGUUUGAGACCGCUGUCGUAGAGGGUCAAAGAUCAGGAAAUACUGUCGUUAUUUACUUUCAGGUAAACAAGGUGUGUGAAAAGAUCAAUGAGACAAUCCAGGUGAGCUCUGCUUUACAGUAAAGGUCCCGUCUUUGGAUAUGGGGACCGAAAACAUAAUUAGUUUAUUCAACUAAUGAGUCUCAGGUGUUCUCAGGUGAGUCCCACAGGUGUUCUCAGGUGAGUCCCACAGGUGUCUCAGGUGUUCUCAGGUGAGUCCCACAGGUGUCUCAAGUGUUCUCAGGUAAGUCCCAAAGGUGUGUCAGGUUACACCCACAUGUGUCUCAGGUGUUCUCAGGUGAGUCCCACAGGUGUCUCAGGUGUUCUCAGGUGAGUCCCACAGGUGUCUCAGGUGUUCUCAGGUGAGUCCCACAGGUGUCUCAAGUGUUCUCAGGUAAGUCCCAAAGGUGUGUCAGGUUACACCCACAUGUGUCUCAGGUGUUCUCAGGUGAGUCCCACAGGUGUCUCAGGUGUUCUCAGGUGAGUCCCACAGGUGU